GUGGGGAAUAUUGCACAAUGGGGGAAACCCUGAUGCAGCGACGCCGCGUGAGUGAAGAAGUAUUUCGGUAUGUAAAGCUCUAUCAGCAGGGAAGAAAAUGACGGUACCUGACUAAGAAGCCCCGGCUAACUACGUGCCAGCAGCCGCGGUAAUACGUAGGGGGCAAGCGUUAUCCGGAUUUACUGGGUGUAAAGGGAGCGUAGACGGCUUGGCAAGUCUGAUGUGAAAGGCAGGGGCUCAACUCCUGGACUGCAUUGGAAACUGCUUGGCUUGAGUGCCGGAGAGGUAAGCGGAAUUCCUAGUGUAGCGGUGAAAUGCGUAGAUAUUAGGAGGAACACCAGUGGCGAAGGCGGCUUACUGGACGGUAACUGACGUUGAGGCUCGAAAGCGUGGGGAGCAAACAGG
This 405-nucleotide ribosomal RNA is filed under the name uncultured bacterium. RNAcentral describes it as "bacterial SSU rRNA". It matches the Rfam family "Bacterial small subunit ribosomal RNA", at positions 354 to 776 of the family's 1533-position model. The record is from RNAcentral.